UGUAGCAUUGCAGAUCAGGCUCUUUUUUCCUACCAUUUCAAUACCUUUGGUCAGAUUUAGCUUAUUUGAUAGUAACAAAGAAUAAAUGGUGUGAAUAUAACAAAUAAUAUGCGGUGGUGACCUAUCAAAACUAUUAAUGUGCAUUUUGCAGUUCCGAUUUUUACAAUUUCUAUUCUUCCCUUCUGAUCCACAGUUUGCUCUUCUAACACAUAAUACUAUAUAUGCACAUGCAGCCCUUUCAGUUGAGCUGAGUCCUGGUAUCCUUGGAAACAUUUUUGAUGAAAUCCAGGUAAGUUCAGCAUGAUAAUCAUUCCAUUUCUGUUAAAUUUGCAGCACCCCCUAAAAACUAUUGCUAUUAGAUCUGAAGACGAUGCACCCUGGUAAUUUAAGCCAAAAAAGCUGGGUAAUGCGUUUGGCAUAUUUUAACUGUGAAUGAGGGACAUCUUGUUAAUCGUUAGCAGGCCCUCUAAAACAUCUCCUUUUUAUUAUUUGCUUUAGCUGUUGGAGAUGUUCUCACCGGUGAAGAUCUAUAUGCUUUUAUGAUGAUUUUGGGCAUACCAAGCUUAAAGAAGAUAUCUCACAAAUGCAUCGUGUCUAGCUUUUUAGCCUUACAAAUUAGAGGUUUUGAUUGAUACAUGCAUAUUAUUGGAAUAUUUGGUGCUUUGAAAAGACUAUGGGUGGAGUCAACAAACUGACUGAAUGUAUGAAAGAAAUCCAAGACUCUUUGUCAGCUUCUCUUGGAGCUUCUGCUAAUUUCAACAAGGUAAUAUUUAAGAUUUAUUACAAUCUUGUAUUUAAUUAUUUUAUCUGAAUCACUUACAUCUAUACUAUUACACACAAAAAACUUGCAUGAUUAAACAGAGGAGGAACUUAAAGAAUUGGAGUGAGCAGUGUGUGUCUGUUAGAUCGAUCUGUAAAUCUUAGUCUACUUGCUGAUUUCAUAGGACUAAUUCACUGGUGCACGGUGAAUGCUCUAGCAUACACAGGUGGAUUUUCCCAUAUAAUUGUAAUAUUAGUCAAGACGUGCAUUGCA
Molecule: non-coding RNA, 1033 nt
Organism: Aegilops tauschii subsp. strangulata
Lineage: Eukaryota; Viridiplantae; Streptophyta; Magnoliopsida; Poales; Poaceae
Source: RefSeq, a predicted model, not a curated record